RNAcentral lists this ribosomal RNA (253 nucleotides) under uncultured bacterium. Its description in RNAcentral is "partial 16S ribosomal RNA". It matches the Rfam family "Bacterial small subunit ribosomal RNA", at positions 524 to 776 of the family's 1533-position model. The record is from RNAcentral.
UACGUAGGGGGCAAGCGUUGUCCGGAAUCAUUGGGCGUAAAGCGCGUGUAGGCGGCCCUGAAAGUCUGGUGUGAAAACUUGAGGCUCAACCUCAAGCUGUCACUGGAUACUGCAGGGCUUGAGUCCGGAAGAGGAGAGUGGAAUUCCUGGUGUAGCGGUGGAAUGCGCAGAUAUUAGGAGGAACACCUAUGGCGAAGGCAGCUCUCUGGUACGUGACUGACGCUGAGACGCGAAAGCGUGGGGAGCGAACAGG